ACCUGAAUCCAAAACAUAGCAGGCAUAUAUAAAUUAGUCAAAUCUUGGAGAACAAUAUCCUGUUAUGCGUAGAAAGAUUGCUCGUUGACUCGUUGUCAAUGAGAAUGUAGAUAGAAAUUUGGAACAUACUGUUUGCAGUAGCGAGCCCGAGUCAUCUGCAAAGGCAUUGCUUUUCCUACCAGAUACAAUCUCAAGAACAAGCACACCGAAGCUGUAGACAUCAGCCUUCUCCGUGAGCUGUCCUCUGACAAGUGUCCCGGCAAUGCCAGUGCUGAGAUGAGUUUUAUCAGGCGCAAAACAGCGUGCAAGCCCAAAAUCAGCAAUCUUAGGUGCGAGGUUUUCAUCCAAAAGGACAUUGCUGCUCUUGAUGUCCCUGUGGAUGAUUCUGAUUGAGGUUCCUCCAUGGAGAAAGGCUAUACCUUCUGCUGUCCCAACCACAAUGUGAACCCGCUCCCUCCAGGUCAGAACCUUGUUCUUGUCUGCAAAAGAGAAUUGAAAACACUUCCAGUGAACCAAACUUCCCAAUAAUGUGCAAUCACACUAUCAGCUUAAACUUUUAGUUGAGAAGGAACACAUUCAGAGUCCGACCCAAACAAAAACCAAGAACAGAAUUAUAGGAAGUACCAAAGAUGUAUUGAUCGAGGCUCUUGUUAGGCACAAACUCAUAAACCAGCAGGCUUUCGGGGCCUUCGAUGCUGCAACCCAGAAGCUUGACAAGAUUCCUGUGCUCAACUCCACUUAUAAGAUUCACCUCAUUGAAGAACUCAUCCACCCACUGCCUAGUAUUGAAAAACAAUCUCUUCACUGCAACAACUCUCCCAUCAUUCAACGUUCCCUUGUACACAGAACCAGCUCCUCCUUGCCCAAGUUUCAUGGAAGGAUCAAAAUAGUUGGUUGCCUUCUCCAGAGUUUCAUACUUAAAGUUGAGAUUAGAUUUGCUGUAAAUGCCCAAUAAUGGACCAAGAUUCUUCCUUUCUGCAUUAGGACAAGAAAAAUGUCACCACUCUUCAAACACCAAAUAGAAUUAUAUAUUUAUUCACGGGAACAAACCCCAACCAAAUUGGUAAGACAGUUGACUUUGUAGUCACAAGAUUUUAAAUUUGAUUCUCGUGGGGCUAUUUGUUGACCUUCUUUGUUUUAUGUCACCAAAUGGAAUAUAUAUUUAUUCAAUGAGGUAACUCUCAA
Ipomoea triloba (trilobed morning glory) is the source of this 1185-nucleotide long non-coding RNA. RefSeq lists it as uncharacterized. The transcript has 2 exons. The record is from RefSeq and is a predicted model, not a curated record. Lineage: Eukaryota; Viridiplantae; Streptophyta; Magnoliopsida; Solanales; Convolvulaceae.